Molecule: transfer RNA, 56 nt
Filed under: Dipetalonema gracile
Lineage: Eukaryota; Metazoa; Nematoda; Chromadorea; Rhabditida; Onchocercidae
Description: tRNA-Glu
Source: RNAcentral
GUAAUAUUAGUAUAAUUCUAUUAUUUUUAAUUUUCUAUUAAAGGAUUUAUAUUAUU